UACGAAGGGGGCUAGCGUUGUUCGGAAUUACUGGGCGUAAAGCGUAUGCAGGCGGAUCAUUAAGUCGGGGGUGAAAUCCCGGGGCUCAACCUCGGAAUUGCCUUCGAUACUGUCUAUCUAGAGUCCGGGAGAGGUGAGUGGAAUUCCUAGUGUAGAGGUGAAAUUCGUAGAUAUUAGGAAGAACACCAGUGGCGAAGGCGGCUCACUGGCCCGGUACUGACGCUCAUGAGCGAAAGCGUGGGGAGCAAACAGG
RNAcentral lists this ribosomal RNA (253 nucleotides) under uncultured bacterium. RNAcentral's name for it is "partial 16S ribosomal RNA". It matches the Rfam family "Bacterial small subunit ribosomal RNA", at positions 524 to 776 of the family's 1533-position model. The record is from RNAcentral.